This 253-nucleotide ribosomal RNA is filed under the name uncultured bacterium. RNAcentral's name for it is "partial 16S ribosomal RNA". It matches the Rfam family "Bacterial small subunit ribosomal RNA", at positions 524 to 776 of the family's 1533-position model. The record is from RNAcentral.
UACGUAGGUGGCAAGCGUUGUCCGGAUUUACUGGGCGUAAAGAGCGCGCAGGCGGUCGUUCAAGUCGCGUGUGAAAGCCCCCGGCUCAACUGGGGAGGGUCACGCGAUACUGAUCGACUGGAAGGCAGGAGAGGGUAGUGGAAUUCCCGGUGUAGUGGUGAAAUGCGUAGAUAUCGGGAGGAACACCAGGGGCGAAGGCGACUACCUGGCCUGUUCUUGACGCUGAGGCGCGAAAGCUAGGGGAGCAAACGGG